Molecule: ribosomal RNA, 1249 nt
Filed under: Pseudomonas thivervalensis
Lineage: Bacteria; Pseudomonadati; Pseudomonadota; Gammaproteobacteria; Pseudomonadales; Pseudomonadaceae
Description: bacterial SSU rRNA
Rfam family: Bacterial small subunit ribosomal RNA
Source: RNAcentral
GCCAUGGGGCUUCAUACCAUGCAGUCGAGCGGUGUAGAGGUGCUUGCACCUCUUGAGAGCGGCGGACGGGUGAGUAAAGCCUAGGAAUCUGCCUGGUAGUGGGGGAUAACGCUCGGAAACGGACGCUAAUACCGCACACGUCCUACGGGAGAAAGCAGGGGACCUUCGGGCCUUGCGCUAUCAUAUGAGCCUAGGUCGGAUUACCUAGUUGGUGAGGUAAUGGCUCACCAAGGCGACGAUCCGUAACUGGUCUGAGAGGAUGAUCAGUCACACUGGAACUGAGACACGGUCCAGACUCCUACGGGAGGCAGCAGUGGGGAAUAUUGGACAAUGGGCGAAAGCCUGAUCCAGCCAUGCCGCGUGUGUGAAGAAGGUCUUCGGAUUGUAAAGCACUUUAAGUUGGGAGGAAGGGCAUUAACCUAAUACGUUAGUGUUUUGACGUUACCGACAGAAUAAGCACCGGCUAACUCUGUGCCAGCAGCCGCGGUAAUACAGAGGGUGCAAGCGUUAAUCGGAAUUACUGGGCGUAAAGCGCGCGUAGGUGGUUCGUUAAGUUGGAUGUGAAAUCCCCGGGCUCAACCUGGGAACUGCAUUCAAAACUGUCGAGCUAGAGUAUGGUAGAGGGUGGUGGAAUUUCCUGUGUAGCGGUGAAAUGCGUAGAUAUAGGAAGGAACACCAGUGGCGAAGGCGACCACCUGGACUGAUACUGACACUGAGGUGCGAAAGCGUGGGGAGCAAACAGGAUUAGAUACCCUGGUAGUCCACGCCGUAAACGAUGUCAACUAGCCGUUGGGAGCCUUGAGCUCUUAGUGGCGCAGCUAACGCAUUAAGUUGACCGCCUGGGGAGUACGGCCGCAAGGUUAAAACUCAAAUGAAUUGACGGGGGCCCGCACAAGCGGUGGAGCAUGUGGUUUAAUUCGAAGCAACGCGAAGAACCUUACCAGGCCUUGACAUCCAAUGAACUUUCAGGAGAAUGGAUUGGUGCCUUCGGGAACAUUGAGACAGUGCUGCAUGGCUGUCGUCAGCUCGUGUCGUGAGAAUGGUUGGGUUAAGUCCCGUACGAGCGCAACCCUGUCUAGUACAGCACGUCAUGGUGGGCACUCUAGAGACUGCGUGACAAACGGAAGAGAAGGUGGGGAUGACGUCCAGUCAUCAUGCCUACGCCUGGGCUACACGUGCUACAAUGUUCGGUACGAGUGCAGCCGAGUGACUAUCCAAAACCGAGCGUGUCGAAUCGCGGAUCUCUGAC